UACGUAGGGACCAAGCGUUGUUCGGAUUUACUGGGCGUAAAGGGCGCGUAGGCGGCAAUUCAAGUCAGUUGUGAAAUCUCCGAGCUUAACUCGGAACGGACAACUGAUACUGCUUUGCUAGAGUACAGAAGGGGCAAUCGGAAUUCUUGGUGUAGCGGUGAAAUGCGUAGAUAUCAAGAGGAACACCUGAGGUGAAGACGGGUUGCUGGGCUGAUACUGACGCUGAGGCGCGAAAGCUAGGGUAGCAAACGGG
This 253-nucleotide ribosomal RNA is filed under the name uncultured bacterium. RNAcentral's name for it is "partial 16S ribosomal RNA". It matches the Rfam family "Bacterial small subunit ribosomal RNA", at positions 524 to 776 of the family's 1533-position model. The record is from RNAcentral.